RNAcentral lists this ribosomal RNA (566 nucleotides) under Cylindrocarpon decumbens. RNAcentral's name for it is "LSU rRNA". It matches the Rfam family "Eukaryotic large subunit ribosomal RNA", at positions 30 to 609 of the family's 3401-position model. Lineage: Eukaryota; Fungi; Ascomycota; Sordariomycetes; Hypocreales; Nectriaceae. The record is from RNAcentral.
GAACUUAAGCAUAUCAAUAAGCGGAGGAAAAGAAACCAACAGGGAUUGCCCUAGUAACGGCGAGUGAAGCGGCAACAGCUCAAAUUUGAAAUCUGGCCCCCGGGUCCGAGUUGUAAUUUGUAGAGGAUGCUUUUGGUGCGGUACCUUCCGAGUUCCCUGGAACGGGACGCCAUAGAGGGUGAGAGCCCCGUCUGGUUGGACGCCAAUCCUUUGUAAAGCUCCUUCAACGAGUCGAGUAGUUUGGGAAUGCUGCUCUAAAUGGGAGGUAUAUGUCUUCUAAAGCUAAAUAUUGGCCAGAGACCGAUAGCGCACAAGUAGAGUGAUCGAAAGAUGAAAAGCACUUUGAAAAGAGAGUUAAAAAGUACGUGAAAUUGUUGAAAGGGAAGCGCUCAUGACCAGACUUGGGCUUGGUUGAUCAUCCAGGGUUCUCCCUGGUGCACUCUUCCGGCCCAGGCCAGCAUCAGUUCGCUGUGGGGGAUAAAGGCUUCGGGAAUGUGGCUCCCUCGGGAGUGUUAUAGCCCGUUGUGUAAUACCCUGUGGUGGACUGAGGUUCGCGCAUCGCAAGA